This 307-nucleotide ribosomal RNA is filed under the name uncultured eukaryote. RNAcentral describes it as "partial large subunit ribosomal RNA". It matches the Rfam family "Eukaryotic large subunit ribosomal RNA", at positions 40 to 350 of the family's 3401-position model. The record is from RNAcentral.
AUAUAAGUAAGCGGAGGAAAAGAAACUAACUAGGAUUCCCCCAGUAAUGGCGAAUGAACAGGGAAGAGCUCAAUGCCCAAUCGUUGUCUUCGACAGCGACAUGUGGUUUGGGUGGGUGACCGGCAGUGUUCUCGGUGAAAGUCUCCUGGAAUGGAGCACCAAGGAGGGUGACAGUCCCGUUCAUCACUGAGAUAACUUUGCGUACGGUCCUCGCUAAAUGAGUCGCGUUCUUUGGGAUAAGAGCGCUAAAGGGUGGUAAGUUCCAUCUAAAGCUAAAUAUGACCACGAGACCGAUAGCGCACAAGUA